GACGAACGCUGGCGGCGUGCCUAACACAUGCAAGUCGAGCGGGGUUGAAGCGAGAGGUAACUCGAGCUUCUACCUAGCGGCGGACGGGUGAGUAACGCGUGGGCAACCUGCCUCAAGGUUUGGGAUAACAGCCCGAAAGGGCUGCUAAUACCGGAUAUGCCUGUGGCCUCGCAUGGGGCUAUGAGCAAAGGGGAAACCCGCCUUGAGAUGGGCCCGCGUCCCAUCAGCUAGUUGGUGAGGUGAAGGCUCACCAAGGCGACGACGGGUAGCCCGCCUGAGAGGGUGACCGGCCACACUGGGACUGAGACACGGCCCAGACUCCUACGGGGGGCAGCAGUGGGGAAUCUUGCACAAUGGGCGAAAGCCUGAUGCAGCGACGCCGCGUGAGCGAAGAAGGCCUUCGGGUUGUAAAGCUCUGUCUGGAGGGACGAAGAAAGUGACGGUACCUCCGGAGGAGCCGACGGCUAACUACGUGCCAGCAGCCGCGGUAAGCUGUAGUCGUCG
This 504-nucleotide ribosomal RNA is filed under the name uncultured bacterium. Its description in RNAcentral is "bacterial SSU rRNA". It matches the Rfam family "Bacterial small subunit ribosomal RNA", at positions 28 to 534 of the family's 1533-position model. The record is from RNAcentral.